CUGAAAGCUGAGAAGAAAAUGAGAAGAUCUGGUUUCAAGACUGUCACUGGGUGACACUGCCAAGAGUUGCCUCUGCAUGUCAGCACUUGGAUCAGACAGGUGAACUCUUGAAAGCUGAGCCUUGGCAUAAAUCAGACGGGGAGAGUCAGAAAUGCAAACACUGUGUGUGGAAAGAAAAACAGGCCUGAAGAAGAUGACCACAGCUUCAAAAACCACUUUAGCGCAAAAUGUCGUCUGACAGAAGGAAGACACCUCUCUCUAAGAAAAUAUAUCUGAAACCCACUAUAGCAUAUUCCUUUUUGGAACAAAGUAUUUUCUGAUAUGGGGUUCAGGGAGAAGACAAGAUGGAAAAGCUCACGGAUCUGAGCAAAGACAGAGAGAUUGCUUACCAGUUGCUAUCAUGGUCAGAACAGACUUAACUGCCAAUUAAAAAUAGAGUGGAAUGGUUCAGCUGUGUGCAUUUUCCACCUGGCUGCAGUGAGACUGAAUGGAAGAUACCAAAUGUUGUUCUCACGAAGAAAAACUUGUGCAAGGGAGUGCUCACGCUGAAUUGGGUGAGGCCACAAACUGCGAGUAUGAACCUUAUGUAUGCAAAGUCUCAGCUGAAUGUGGUAAUGAACAAGGUCAUGGCUUAUGUAUUACUGGAAUGAAACCAGGUACAGUGAUACCAACCAGCCCAUGAAAUCAGAUUUGUGCCUUAUCUAUGAGCAUUGUCAGACUGUUUGCUUGUUUGCUUCUUUGAUUCUAAAUGUGACCUUUUAGCUGAUUAUGGGUCACCUAUUGAAGGGCUAUUUGGAGAAUGAGGUGCCAGGAAUAGAGCAGUGCAGUAAACCAAAAGGUUGAAAAAGGUUAGUAACUGCAUUUGGUGGGGGAUGUGUUUUUGCACACCUUCUUCUGAAAGAUUUUUCAGAAUAUAUUGAAUUUCUGAGGUAGCUGGUAUUAGGUUCCUCCAAAAGGCAACAGCUUCAGAAACUUAGAUUCUACAGGUCUACUAAAGAACUACAGU
Long non-coding RNA from Neopsephotus bourkii (Bourke's parrot), 1006 nucleotides. RefSeq lists it as uncharacterized. NCBI's taxonomy places the organism in Eukaryota, Metazoa, Chordata, Aves, Psittaciformes, Psittacidae. The transcript has 4 exons. The record is from RefSeq and is a predicted model, not a curated record.